UGUGGUUAGCGGUGAAAUGCCAAUCGAACUCGGAGAUAGCUGGUUCUCCUCGAAACAGUUUUAGGACUGGCGUCAUGUGGUAGCAGUCGGGGGUAGAGCUCUGUAAAGGACUGGGGGGAGCAAUCCUACCCACCCUUAACAAACUACGAAUACCGGCUGUGGAAUCAUGGCAGUUAGAACGGCGGAGCUAAGUUCGUCGCUCAAAAGGGAAACAGCCCAGACCAUCGUCUAAGGUCCCUAAAUUUACGUUAAGUGGGAAACAAGGUGAGAUUUCUUAAACAGCUAGGAUGUUGGCUUAGAAGCAGCCAUUCAUUUAAAGAGUGCGUAACAGCUCACUAGUCAAGAGAUUUUGCGUGGAAAAUGUAACGGGGCUAAAGUGUUAAACCGAAGACAUGGACUUCUGCCUAUGCAGGAGUGGUAGAGGAGCGUUGAUAUCGCAGUGAAGUCAGAUUGGAAAGUCUGGUGGAGCGUUAUCAAGUGAGAAUGCUGGAAUUAGUAACCUUAAGACAGGUGAGAAUCCUGUCGGUCGUAAGAGCAAGGUUUCCAGGGCUACAGUAAUUGCCCCUGGGUUAGUCGGUCCUAAGCCGAGGCGUAUCAGCGUAGGCGAUGGACAACAGGUUAAUAUUCCUGUACAGGUAGUAGUUGUGAACAGUUCACGGUGAAUGACUGGAGCGGAUUAAUGGUUUAUCCGUCCAAGUCUUUAGGGAACUAAAGAUGAGUGAAAGGUAAUCUUCGGAUUAUUGAUUCUGGGUGAAGCACUGGCUAGAAAAGCUGGUUCACUUAUGCUGCUGCCUACCGUACCGCAAACCAACACCGGUGCUCGGGUCGAGUAGACCAAGACCUACGUGAGAACCUUCGCUAAGGAACUCGGCAAAAAAGCGUCCGUAACUUCGGAAUAAGGACUGCCCUCUCAUUAAGAUGAGGAUUUGCUAGAAACUCAGCAGAAGAUUCAGAUUACCUUUUAACUGAAUUUUUCGUUGAGACAGAACACAAAACAGGAUUUGUUUAACAAAUUCGUGUCUUUCCUAGUAGUCUAAUCGUCAUUUUGAUGAGAGGGCCGCAGCUAAAGAGCCCACGGAACUGUUUACCAAAAACAUAGGUCUCUGCUAACGCGAAAGCGGAUGUAUAGGGGCUGACUCCUGCCCGGUGUCGGAAGGUUAAGGGGAGAGCUUUACGGUUCGAACUGAAGCCCCGAUGAACGGCGGCGAUAACUAUGAUCGUCCUAAGGUAGCGAAAUUCCUUGUCUGGUAAGUUCAGACCCGCACGAAUGGAGUAAUCAUGUGGGCACUGUCUCGGCGAAGGCCACGGUGAACGUGCAUUGGCGGUAAAGAUGCCGUCUGAUCAUGCCAGGACGAGAAGACCCCAUGGAGCUUUACUACAACUUUGCAUUGAUUAUUGGGACAUUUUGUGUAGAAUAGGUGGAAGACUUUGAAGCAGAUACGCUAGUAUUUGUGGAGUCGAAAUGUGAAAUACCACCCUGAAUGUUUUAGUAAUCUCACUUUUGACCUGAUCGGCCAAAAGGACCGUGCAUGGCGGGUAGUUUAACUGGGGCGGUUGCCUCCUAAAGAGUAGCGGAGGCGUUCAAAGGU
Molecule: ribosomal RNA, 1589 nt
Filed under: human oral metagenome
Description: bacterial LSU rRNA
Rfam family: Bacterial large subunit ribosomal RNA
Source: RNAcentral